RNAcentral lists this long non-coding RNA (993 nucleotides) under Homo sapiens (human). Its description in RNAcentral is "HSALNT0121614". Lineage: Eukaryota; Metazoa; Chordata; Mammalia; Primates; Hominidae. The record is from RNAcentral.
GCAGUAGCUCAUGCCUGUAAUCCCAGCGAUUUGGGAGGCUGGGGCCAGGAGUUUAAGACCACCCUGUGUAACGUGGCCAAGACCCCUAUCUCUACAAAAAAAAAGUUUCCAGAUGUGGGAUUGGUAAAUGUCCCCUGGAUGGUAAAGUAAAAUCGUGCCCCAGUUGAGAACUAUUGUUUUUAAAAAAUCCAUCUCUUUUUUGUCUGUUUUUGUUUUUGUUUUUGUUUAUAGAGGAAAAAGGUUUAAUCGACUCACAGUUCAGCCUGGCUGGGGAGGCCCCAGGAAACUUACAAUUAUGGCAAAAGGUGAAGGAGGCCCGAGGAAACUUACAGUUGUGGCAAAAGGUGAAGCAAACAUCCUUCUUCACAUGGUGGCAGAAAGGAGAAGAAUGAGCAAAAUGGGGAAGAGCCCCUUAUAAAAUCAUCAGAUCUCGUGAGAACUCACUCACUAUCAUGAGAACAACAUGGAGGUAACUGCCCCUGUGAUUCAAUGACCUCCCACCGGGUCCCUUCCACAACAUGUAGGAAUUACGGGAACUACAAUUCAAGUAUUCUUCCUUGGAUGAAAGGACUAGGAGAAAGCCCUGCAACCCCACGAGUCCGCCCGUUUGUUGAAAUCAGUUCAAGAUCAUCCAGGCCUUCUGACCAAGAAUAUCCAGAGACAAGGUCGAAGAAUCUGAACUUUUAAAGGCCGCUUAGGAACAUCUGAUUAUCAGCAAGUCUUGGGAACCACUGAUAAUACAACGCGCACCCCCCCACUCAGUGCAGAAUGCUUCCCAACAAGGUCUCUAAAUGCUUCUUCCAAAGCAUGUUUGGGUUUGGAGAUUCAGCUCAAAUGCUCUGACACAGACUGUCCUAAACUGGUAUCAUCCCAGCCUGUGACAGAAAUUGAAAAACAAGUAAUACUUCGUGCUCUAAAAUCUUGAUUUCUGCUUAGUUGUGUCCUCAUCAAAUAGCUGCUUUCUAUUUUCCAUGGCCAAGUGCACAGAAGAAG